Molecule: ribosomal RNA, 724 nt
Filed under: uncultured Flavobacteriales bacterium
Lineage: Bacteria; Pseudomonadati; Bacteroidota; Flavobacteriia; Flavobacteriales
Description: bacterial SSU rRNA
Rfam family: Bacterial small subunit ribosomal RNA
Source: RNAcentral
GCGGCGGCCUACACAUGCNAGUCGAGGGGCAGCACAGNAAAUAGCUUGCUAUUUGGGUGGCGACCGGCGCACGGGUGCGUAACGCGUAUGCAACCUACCUUAUACUGGGGUAUAGCCCGGAGAAAUUCGGAUUAAUCCCCCAUGGUAUUAUUGGAUCGCAUGGUUUGAUAAUUAAAGGAUACGGUAUAAGAUGGGCAUGCGUCCUAUUAGCUAGAUGGUAAGGUAACGGCUUACCAUGGCUACGAUAGGUAGGGGGCCUGAGAGGGUGGUCCCCCACACUGGUACUGAGCANGGAACCANANCUCNUACGGGAGGCAGCAGUGAGGAAUAUUGGUCAAUGGGCGCAAGCCUGAACCAGCCAUGCCGCGUGCAGGAAGAAUGCCCUAUGGGUUGUAAACUGCUUUUAUUUAGGAAUAAACUCUUGUACGUGUACAAGCCUGAAGGUACUAAAUGAAUAAGCACCGGCUAACUCCGUGCCAGCAGCCGCGGUAAUACGGAGGGUGCAAGCGUUAUCCGGAAUCAUUGGGUUUAAAGGGUCCGCAGGCGGAUUUAUAAGUCAGUGGUGAAAUCCUAUCGCUUAACGAUAGAACUGCCAUUGAUACUGUAAGUCUUGAAUUCGGUCGAAGUGGGCGGAAUGUGUAGUGUAGCGGUGAAAUGCAUAGAUUAUUACACAGAACACCGAUAGCGAAGGCAGCUCACUAGGCCUGGAUUGACGCUCAGGGAC